UAUACCGUGAACUGCGAAUGGCUCAUUAAAUCAGUUAUCGUUUAUUUGAUAGUACCUUACUACUUGGAUAACCGUGGUAAUUCUAGAGCUAAUACAUGCUAAAAACCCCAACUUCGGGAGGGGUGUAUUUAUUAGAUAAAAAACCAAUGCCCUUCGGGGCUCCUUGGUGAUUCAUGAUAACUUCUCAGAUCGCAUGGCUUUACGCCGGCGACGGUUCAUUCAAAUUUCUGCCCUAUCAACUUUCGAUGGUAAGGUAGUGGCUUACCAUGGUUUCAACGGGUAACGGGGAAUUAGGGUUCGAUUCCGGAGAGGGAGCCGGAGGAACGGCUACCACAUCCAAGGAAGGCAGCAGGCGCGCAAAUUACCCAAUUCCGAUACGGAGAGGUAGUGACAAUAAAUACUGAUACAGGGCUCUUUUGGGUCUUGUAAUUGGAAUGAGUACAAUUUAAACCUCUUAACGAGGAACAAUUGGAGGGCAAGUCUGGUGCCAGCAGCCGCGGUAAUUCCAGCUCCAAUAGCGUAUAUUAAAGUUGUUGCAGUUAAAAAGCUCGUAGUUGAACCUUUGGCCUGGCUGGCAGGUCCGCCUCACCGCGUGCACUUGUCCGGCCGGGCCUUUUCUUCUGGAGAACCGCAUGCCCUUCACUGGGUGUGUUGGGGACCAGGACUUUUACUUUGAAAAAAUUAGAGUGUUCAAAGCAGGCCUUUGCUCGAAUACGUUAGCAUGGAAUAAUAGAAUAGGACGUGCGGUCCUAUUUUGUUGGUUUCUAGGACCGCCGUAAUGAUUAAUAGGGACAGUCGGGGGCAUCAGUAUUCAAUUGUCAGAGGUGAAAUUCUUGGAUUUAUUGAAGACUAACUACUGCGAAAGCAUUUGCCAAGGAUGUUUUCAUUAAUCAGUGAACGAAAGUUAGGGGAUCGAAGACGAUCAGAUACCGUCGUAGUCUUAACCAUAAACUAUGCCGACUAGGGAUCGGGCGGUGUUUCUAUUGUGACCCGCUCGGCACCUUACGAGAAAUCAAAGUG
RNAcentral lists this ribosomal RNA (1020 nucleotides) under Paraconiothyrium tiliae. RNAcentral's name for it is "SSU rRNA". It matches the Rfam family "Eukaryotic small subunit ribosomal RNA", at positions 75 to 1105 of the family's 1831-position model. The record is from RNAcentral. Lineage: Eukaryota; Fungi; Ascomycota; Dothideomycetes; Pleosporales; Didymosphaeriaceae.